This 465-nucleotide ribosomal RNA is filed under the name uncultured bacterium. Its description in RNAcentral is "partial 16S ribosomal RNA". It matches the Rfam family "Bacterial small subunit ribosomal RNA", at positions 28 to 507 of the family's 1533-position model. The record is from RNAcentral.
GACGAACGCUGGCGGCGUGCUUAACACAUGCAAGUCGAACGGAAAGGCCCCUUUGGUGGUACUCGAGUGUCGAACGGGUGAGUAACACGUGAAUAACCUUCCCUUGACUUCUGGAUAACUUCAGGAUACUGGGGCUAAUACCGGAUAGGGAUCCUUUUUGCAUGGUGGUGGUUGGAAAGCUUCGGCGGGUUUUGAUGUACUCGCUGCUUAUCAGCUUGUUGGUUGGGUAGUGUCUUACCAAGGCUUUGACGGGUAGCCGGACUGAGAGGGCGACCGGCGACAUUGGGACUGACAUAAGGCCCAGACUCCUACGGGAGGCAGAAGUGGGGAAUAUUGCCCAAUGGGCGGAAGCCUGAUGCAGCAACGCCGCGUGCGGGAUGACGGUCUUAGGGUUGUAAACCGCUUUCAGCAGGGGCGAAGCUUGUGGUGACGGUACCUGAAGAAGAAGCACCGGCUAACUACGUG